RNAcentral lists this transfer RNA (72 nucleotides) under Ornithorhynchus anatinus (platypus). It matches the Rfam family "tRNA". Rfam says of the family: Transfer RNA (tRNA) molecules are approximately 80 nucleotides in length. Their secondary structure includes four short double-helical elements and three loops (D, anti-codon, and T loops). The record is from Rfam by way of RNAcentral. Lineage: Eukaryota; Metazoa; Chordata; Mammalia; Monotremata; Ornithorhynchidae.
AGCAGUAUGGCUAAGUGGAAAGAGCCCAGGCUUGGAAGUGAGAGGUUGUGGGUUCUAAUCCCACUUCUGCCA